AUGGCUCAGGAUGAACGCUAGCGGUAGGCUUAACACAUGCAAGUCGAGGGGCAGCGGGAUGUAGCAAUACAUUGCCGGCGACCGGCGGAUGGGUGCGUAACGCGUAUGCAACCUACCUUAUACAGGGGAAUAACCUUUCGAAAGGGAGACUAACACCCCAUAGUAUUGAUUUAAGGCAUCUUAGAUUAAUUAAAUAUUUAUAGGUAUAAGAUGGGCAUGCGUACGAUUAGCUAGUUGGUAAGGUAACGGCUUACCAAGGCGACGAUCAUUAGGGGUUCUGAGAGGAAGGUCCCCCCACACUGGUACUGAGACACGGACCAGACUCCUACGGGAGGCAGCAGUGAGGAAUAUUGGUCAAUGGGCGCAAGCCUGAACCAGCCAUGCCGCGUGCAGGAAAAGACGGCCUUAUGGGUUGUAAACUGCCUUUACAUAAGACUAACCGUAUAUUUGCGAAUAUACCUGAAUGUAUUAUGAGAAUAAGGAUCGGCUAACUCCGUGCCAGCCGCUGC
RNAcentral lists this ribosomal RNA (509 nucleotides) under uncultured bacterium. RNAcentral's name for it is "bacterial SSU rRNA". It matches the Rfam family "Bacterial small subunit ribosomal RNA", at positions 19 to 518 of the family's 1533-position model. The record is from RNAcentral.